GACGAACGCUGGCGGCGUGCUUAACACAUGCAAGUCGAACGGAAAGGCCUGCUUUCCCUUGUGGAUUGCGGGUACUCGAGUGGCGAACGGGUGAGUAACACGUGAGUGAUCUGCCCCCAACUUGGGUAUAAGCCUGGGAAACUGGGUCUAAUUCCCGAUAGGACUGCAGGGUGGUGCCUGUGGUGGAAAACGAUUUUCUAGUGGUUGGGGAUGAGCUCGCGGCCUAUCAGCUUGUUGGUGGGGUAACGGCCUACAAAGGCGGCGACGGGUAGCCGGCCUGAGAGGGUGGACGGCCACAUUGGGACUGAGAUACGGCCCAGACUCCUACGGGAGGCAGCAGUGGGGAAUAUUGCACCAUGGGCGGAAGCCUGAUGCAGCGACGCCGCGUGGGGGAUGACGGCCUUCGGGUUGUAAACUCCUUUCGACCGCGAGGAAGCCACCUGGUUGGAAGGGUGGUGACGGUAGUGGUAGAAGAAGCACCGGCUAACUACGUG
Molecule: ribosomal RNA, 494 nt
Filed under: uncultured bacterium
Lineage: Bacteria
Description: partial 16S ribosomal RNA
Rfam family: Bacterial small subunit ribosomal RNA
Source: RNAcentral